RNAcentral lists this transfer RNA (65 nucleotides) under Glycera capitata. RNAcentral describes it as "tRNA-Asp". Lineage: Eukaryota; Metazoa; Annelida; Polychaeta; Phyllodocida; Glyceridae. The record is from RNAcentral.
AAGACUCUAGUUAAUAAUAUAACAUAGGAUUGUCAAUCCUAAAUAACUUGCUAAAGUGUGUCUUA